Oncorhynchus keta (chum salmon) is the source of this 293-nucleotide long non-coding RNA. RefSeq lists it as uncharacterized. NCBI's taxonomy places the organism in Eukaryota, Metazoa, Chordata, Actinopteri, Salmoniformes, Salmonidae. The transcript is spliced from 3 exons. The record is from RefSeq and is a predicted model, not a curated record.
CUGCAGUAGAUAUCUCAGAUAGGGGGGAGUGAACAGGUGUUGUAUGUGGAGGAUGAGGGCUGCAGUAGAUAUCUCAGAUAGGGGGGAGUGAACAGGUGUUGUAUGUGGAGGAUGAGGGCUGCAGUAGAUAUCUCAGAUAGGGGGGAGUGAACAGGUGUUGUAUGUGGAGGAUGAGGGCUGCAGUAGAUAUCUCAGAUAGGGGGGAGUGAACAGGUGUUGUAUGUGGAGGAUGAGGGCUGCAGUAGAUAUCUUAGAUAGGGGGGAGUGAACAGGUGUUGUAUGUGGAGGAUGAG